CUGCAGAGGUGAUGUGGGGUGGUGAGACGUGAGGCUCAAGUGUGUGUGCGUGUAUACGUGCUGGAAAAAGAUCGGAUUUCUGUGUUAUGGCUGUGUAAAAGGAGCAACAUCUAUAUUUAAUGAAGCUCUCUGCUCGGCAGCCUACCUCCAAUGUCGCCUUUCAAGUGAUUUCCCUUGCUGCUUUCACUACCACAAGUUUAUCCCUCCUGGAGAGGCUAUUGAGCACUGAUGGGGAGAGGCGAAGGCAAGCACCAGCCCUCACCCAGCGCAAGGUCCAGCCAUCAGAGUGGGCAAAUCAGGGCCAUAAAAGCACAAAAAUCAGCCACGCUUUGUGCAUGGGUUUCAGCCACUUUGCCCGGUCUGGGAACAUUUUGCAGACAUUUCAAUAGAAAGCUACUGGUGCUUUCAUUGCUGCCUGUUCCUAUUGCCAGGCAUGGAAAGAACAAGUAUGGAGUGGAUCAAAAAAAAAAAAAAAAAGAAAACACAAACUUUUGUCAUUCUCAUCAGAAGGCAGAGCCACAGAGCUCUCCACAGAGGGACCAUUGUGCCUCUGAGCAUCCCACCAACGUUGGCUAGAUCUGGCCAAUACUCUAAUACUCUAUCAGGUGUCCCAGGCUAGCCUGGCAAAAGGUGGCAGAGCCCUCACAAAUGCCAACCUGAACAUCCUCAGUCAGAACACGGGUUGCAAGAAAUUCCA
This is a long non-coding RNA of Anas platyrhynchos (mallard), 697 nucleotides long. RefSeq lists it as uncharacterized. NCBI's taxonomy places the organism in Eukaryota, Metazoa, Chordata, Aves, Anseriformes, Anatidae. The record is from RefSeq and is a predicted model, not a curated record.